UACAGAGGUCUCAAGCGUUGUUCGGAUUCAUUGGGCGUAAAGGGUGCGUAGGUGGCGCCGUAAGUCAGGUGUGAAAUUUCGGAGCUUAACUCCGAAGCUGCAUUUGAUACUGCGGUGCUUGAGGACUGGAGAGGAGACUGGAAUUCACGGUGUAGCAGUGAAAUGCGUAGAUAUCGGAAGGAACAUCAGUGGCGAAAGCGGCUUCCUGGACCAGUACCGACGUUCAGGCACGAAAGCGUGGGGAGCAAACAGG
RNAcentral lists this ribosomal RNA (253 nucleotides) under uncultured bacterium. RNAcentral describes it as "partial 16S ribosomal RNA". It matches the Rfam family "Bacterial small subunit ribosomal RNA", at positions 524 to 776 of the family's 1533-position model. The record is from RNAcentral.